UACGAAGGUCCCGAGCGUUGUUCGGAAUUACUGGGCGUAAAGGGCUCGUAGGCGGCCAACUAAGUCCGACGUGAAAUCCCCAGGCUUAACCUGGGAACUGCGUCGGAUACUGGAUGGCUUGAAUUCGGGAGAGGGAUGCAGAAUUCCAGGUGUAGCGGUGAAAUGCGUAGAUAUCUGGAGGAACACCGGUGGCGAAGGCGGCGUCCUGGACCAAUACUGACACUGAAACGCGAAAGCCAGGGGAGCAAACGGG
RNAcentral lists this ribosomal RNA (253 nucleotides) under uncultured bacterium. RNAcentral describes it as "partial 16S ribosomal RNA". It matches the Rfam family "Bacterial small subunit ribosomal RNA", at positions 524 to 776 of the family's 1533-position model. The record is from RNAcentral.